GACCAAACCCGCGCUCCUCGUCCUCCUCCUCCGACAGAAGCAGCAGCUGCACUAGUCUCCGUCGCCACUGCUUCGCUGCUCUCGCCGCCGCAGCUCCCCUUCUCCCCCGCUCUCCCGCCGCCGCUGCUCCCCUGCUCCCCCGCUCUCCCGCCACAGCUGCCUCCUGCUCCGCCGCUGCAGCUACCGCUCGCCUGCCUCCCCAAGCUCCCCCUUUCUCAAAAAAAUCCUUGAUUUGGAUCCCAUGUUAGUCCAACCCACAGCUACCGCCGCGCUCUGCUUCAGCUGCGUCGGAACUGCCGUCGGAGAGCCCGCGGGCGCCGGAUACGGGCCACCAACAACAACCUAAAGGCCGACGAGCAGCCGGGUGUCGUCCUCGCCGUCGACGACGACGGUGCCGCCGACGUCGCGAAGCGAGGGCGAGAUCCUCUAGUCGGACAACAUCAAGAGCUUGCGGGCCUCCUCGCCGCCCCUGCCUCGUCGCGGGCUCGGCACACCGCAACUCUUCUUGGCCAUUUCUCCCUGGCUUGACUGGUUGCGGCGCGGGAGAAGGCCGAGGCCGCGCUCGCCGAGGGGGACGCCGUGCGGGCGGAGGCCCUCUUCACCGAGAGCAUCGCCAUGGACUGAAUCAUUCUUUUCAGCCGGCGGCCAAUCUUUACAUCUUGUACUGACAGAGAAUGUGUUGUAAAGGUGGGCUGCAUCUGGCCUAGGUGUAAGGCGAGAAUAGCGAUUGGGGAUACUACUGGCGCCCUCGCAGAUGCCGAGGAAGCGAUAAGGAUAGCUCCCAAAUUUCCUCAGCACAAGCAUGGCCAUCCACCAACAUGCAAAACAAGUUCAAGACCAAAAAUAUGUGUUUCUUGCUGUUUACUCAACUGAACCAGAUUGGGUUUCAAGUUCCAAGUUUGUGACAUACUUCUGCUGUUGAUUGACUGCUCUGAAGUCUGAACUUCAUGGAGACCGUUUCGACAAAUGAGGACACCGGCAAGGGGGCGAUGUGGGAGCUGGAAAAGAGCCUUGAUCAGCCGAUGGACACAGAGGCCGGGAGACUGAGGAAUAUGUACAGAGAAAAGACCUACCCAACAGUUUUGAUGCUACAACUAGCUUUCCAGUGCCUUGGUGUGGUGUUUGGAGAUUUAGGCACAUCACCUCUUUAUGUUUUCUACAACAUCUUUCCUGAGAAGAUAGAAGACACAGAGCAAAUUAUUUCUAGCUUGCUCCCUCCACCCCCCUGAUAUCUACUGAUUUUUAUUCAAUUAACACUAAUCAUAUUCAGUUAACAGGAGCAGAGCAGUUCUUCCUGACGAACAGGAGCAGAGCAGCAACUCCCGUACACUGAUCAUAUUCAGCACAGGGAGCAGAGGAGCAACUCCUUACGGUACCUUCUUCCUCUUGACGAGAAGGAGCUCUGGCGGAAGCAUGGGCAGAUGAGCAGCAGCAGCACCGGCGGUAGGGGAGAAGCAGCCGCACGGGCGCACGGGCAGGGGAGAAGCAGCCGCACGGUCACGCGGGCAGGGGAGAAGCAGCCGCACGGGCUCGCGCGAAAGAUUGAGGAGGGCGCGCGGGCAGGGGAGAAGGAGGACGCGCGCGAGCUCCUGGUCCACCGGAUCGUGGAGGCAAUUUCCGGCGAAGCCCGUAGGGGAUUGCGGCCGGGAUGAAUUGCGGUGGCGCACGCACGGGAGCUCGAGGAGGAUACACUGGAGCUUGAGGAGGAUGCGCUGGAGCUUGAGGAGGAUGCGCGGGAGCUCGAGGUGGACGCCCGCGAGCUCGAGGAGGACGUGGCCAGAGGUCCCGACGAUGCCCGCAGGUAAUCGAGGCGGGAGGGGAUCGCGGCGACGCAAGUCUGAGCGGGGGAGGCGGCGGAGCAGGUACUUGGCGACGGCGGCGACGGAGCAGGUAGGUGGCGACGGCGGUGGAGCACUUCCUGAUGGGCGGCGAGUCGCGCAGCUGGGCGGCGCCGGCCCCUAUCGACGGCGGAGGAAGAAUACAGGAGGCGGAGGGGCUUGUUUCAGACGAUUUUAAAACUACAAGGGCCUUUUUACAAAAUCAACAAUGAACUGCGCCCCCGACAUGUUUUUUGGGACGGAGGGAGUACACAAUUUCCAAAUAAUGUUCUCUUUUCAGAAUUUCCAAAAAGAUUUGCAAAACCCCAUUUACCAAAAAAAACUCACACUUCUGAA
Triticum dicoccoides is the source of this 2174-nucleotide long non-coding RNA. RefSeq lists it as uncharacterized. The transcript is spliced from 6 exons. NCBI's taxonomy places the organism in Eukaryota, Viridiplantae, Streptophyta, Magnoliopsida, Poales, Poaceae. The record is from RefSeq and is a predicted model, not a curated record.